CGAAAUGCGAUAAGUAAUGUGAAUUGCAGAAUUCAGUGAAUCAUCGAAUCUUUGAACGCACCUUGCGCUCCUUGGUAUUCCUUGGAGCAUGCCUGUUUGAGUAUCAUGAAAUCUUCAAAGUAAAUCUUUUGUUAACUCAAUUGGUUUCUACUUUGGUAUUGGAGGUCUUUGCAGCUUCACACCUGCUCCUCUUUGUUCAUUAGCUGGAUCUCAGUGUUAUGCUUGGUUCCACUCGGCGUGAUAAGUUAUCUAUCGCUGAGGACACUGUAAAAGGUGGCCAAGGUAAAUGCAGAUGAACCGCUUCUAAUAGUCCAUUGACUUGGACAAUACUUUUAUGAUCUGAUCUCAAAUCAGGUAGGACUACCCGCUGAACUUGAGC
RNAcentral lists this unclassified non-coding RNA (379 nucleotides) under plant metagenome. RNAcentral's name for it is "partial contains 5.8S ribosomal RNA, internal transcribed spacer 2, and large subunit ribosomal RNA". The stretch from base 1 to 106 matches the Rfam family "5.8S ribosomal RNA", at positions 49 to 154 of the family's 154-position model. The record is from RNAcentral.